This 459-nucleotide ribosomal RNA is filed under the name Anaplasma phagocytophilum. RNAcentral describes it as "bacterial SSU rRNA". It matches the Rfam family "Bacterial small subunit ribosomal RNA", at positions 81 to 575 of the family's 1533-position model. Lineage: Bacteria; Pseudomonadati; Pseudomonadota; Alphaproteobacteria; Rickettsiales; Anaplasmataceae. The record is from RNAcentral.
AUGAAGAAUAAUUAGUGGCAGACGGGUGAGUAAUGCAUAGGAAUCUACCUAGUAGUAUGGGAUAGCCACUAGAAAUGGUGGGUAAUACUGUAUAAUCCCUGCGGGGGAAAGAUUUAUCGCUAUUAGAUGAGCCUAUGUUAGAUUAGCUAGUUGGUAGGGUAAAGGCCUACCAAGGCGAUGAUCUAUAGCUGGUCUGAGAGGAUGAUCAGCCACACUGGAACUGAGAUACGGUCCAGACUCCUACGGGAGGCAGCAGUGGGGAAUAUUGGACAAUGGGCGCAAGCCUGAUCCAGCUAUGCCGCGUGAGUGAGGAAGGCCUUAGGGUUGUAAAACUCUUUCAGUAGGGAAGAUAAUGACGGUACCUACAGAAGAAGUCCCGGCAAACUCCGUGCCAGCAGCCGCGGUAAUACGGAGGGGGCAAGCGUUGUUCGGAAUUAUUGGGCGUAAAGGGCAUGUAGG